UACGGAGGGUGCAAGCGUUAUCCGGAAUCACUGGGUUUAAAGGGUGCGUAGGCGGUUUUGUAAGUCAGUCGUGAAAUCGCUGGGCUUAACCCAUGCAAUUGCGAUUGAUACUGUGAGACUUGAAUGGGGUUUAGGCAGGCGGAAGGUGGCAUGUAGCGGUGAAAUGCAUAGAUAUGCCAUAGAACACCGAUUGCGAAGGCAGCCUGCUGGGCCUUUAUUGACGCUGAGGCACGAAAGCGUGGGGAGCAAACAGG
This 254-nucleotide ribosomal RNA is filed under the name uncultured bacterium. RNAcentral's name for it is "partial 16S ribosomal RNA". It matches the Rfam family "Bacterial small subunit ribosomal RNA", at positions 524 to 776 of the family's 1533-position model. The record is from RNAcentral.